Molecule: ribosomal RNA, 440 nt
Filed under: uncultured bacterium
Lineage: Bacteria
Description: partial 16S ribosomal RNA
Rfam family: Bacterial small subunit ribosomal RNA
Source: RNAcentral
CCUACGGGAGGCAGCAGUGGGGGAUAUUGCACAAUGGGGGAAACCCUGAUGCAGCGAAGCCGCGUGAGCGAUGAAGUAUUUCUGUAUGUAAAGCCCUAUCAGCAGGGAAGAAAAUGACGGUACGUGUCUAAGAAGCUCCGUCUAACUCCGUGCCAGCAGCCGCGGUAAUACGUAGGGGGCAAGCGUGAUCCGGAUUUACUGGGUGUAAAGGGAGCGUAGUCGGCAGUGUAAGUCUGAGGUGAAAGUCCAGGGCUCAACCCUUGGACUGCUUUGGAAACUGGGCUGCUGGAGUGUCGGAGAGGCAAGUGGAAUUCGUGGUGUAGCGGUGAAAUGCGUAGAUAUUAGGAGGAACACCAGUGGCGAAGGCGGCUUGCUGGGCGAUGACUGACGUUGAGGCACGAAAGCGUGGGGAGCAAACAGGAUUAGAUACCCGGGUAGUC